Molecule: ribosomal RNA, 471 nt
Filed under: uncultured organism
Description: partial 16S ribosomal RNA
Rfam family: Bacterial small subunit ribosomal RNA
Source: RNAcentral
CACUCCUGCGGGAGGCAGCAGUGGGGAAUUUUGGACAAUGGGCGAAAGCCUGAUCCAGCAAUGCCGCGUGAGUGAAGAAGGCCUUCGGGUUGUAAAGCUCUUUUGUCAGGGAAGAAACGGUGAAAGCUAAUAUCUUUUGCUAAUGACGGUACCUGAAGAAUAAGCACCGGCUAACUACGUGCCAGCAGCCGCGGUAAUACGUAGGGUGCAAGCGUUAAUCGGAAUUACUGGGCGUAAAGCGUGCGCAGGCGGUUUUGUAAGUCUGAUGUGAAAUCCCCGGGCUCAACCUGGGAAUUGCAUUGGAGACUGCAAGGCUAGAAUCUGGCAGAGGGGGGUAGAAUUCCACGUGUAGCAGUGAAAUGCGUAGAUAUGUGGAGGAACACCGAUGGCGAAGGCAGCCCCCUGGGUCAAGAUUGACGCUCAUGCACGAAAGCGUGGGGAGCAAACAGGAUUAGAUACCCUGGUAGUCCC